Ceraceosorus guamensis is the source of this 102-nucleotide non-coding RNA. NCBI's taxonomy places the organism in Eukaryota, Fungi, Basidiomycota, Exobasidiomycetes, Ceraceosorales, Ceraceosoraceae. The record is from the annotation of a RefSeq genome assembly.
GGAUCUUUGGUGUAGUGGUAUCAUGUUCGCUUAGGGUCCAAGACUCUCUUUGCGAGACACAGCUGUGUGCGUGCGACCUGGGUUCGAUUCCCGGAAGAUCCC